Molecule: ribosomal RNA, 789 nt
Filed under: Triticum aestivum (bread wheat)
Lineage: Eukaryota; Viridiplantae; Streptophyta; Magnoliopsida; Poales; Poaceae
Description: partial small subunit ribosomal RNA
Source: RNAcentral
AUGGAGCGGCAGCCUCGGCCGCAGCUGGCCGUGGCGGAGGAGGCCAUCGCGCUCUACGACACCUACUGGUACCGCCGCCUCGUGCUCAACGCCUACUCCCCUCCCGCGCCUCCCCCGCCGGCGCCUGAGCGCGAGCAGCCGGAGCAGGCGCCGGCGGAGGAGAGCAAGAGCCAGCUGCAGCGGGCUCCGUCCGGGCUGCAGCGGCACCGCCGGACGCGGAGCGACGAGGCCAAGGCCGCCGCGUUCCACGGCCAGCUGGAGCCGCUCAAGAUCCCCACCAGCCACCGCGCGAGGCUCGAGACCAUCCUGUCCGGAAAGGACGGCCUGGCCGCGCCGGAGCCGCUACCGGAGCGCCGGAGGCCGGAGGCGCGGCGGCCCGGCGGGAGGAGGCGGAGGAGCCGCCGCGGGCGGAGCCUGUCGGAGCUGGAGUUCGAGGAGGUGAAGGGCCUGCAGGACCUCGGCUUCACCUUCUCCGAGACCGAGGUCGACGCCGAGCUCGCGUCCAUCGUGCCGGGGCUCAGGCGGCUGCGCGCGGAGGAAGAAGCCAGAAGAGCCAAGGCGGCGGAGGCGGCAGCCUGCGCCGAGGAGGAAGCCUGUAGGAGCAGGGCCGCUGCGGAGGCCUCCGACGCGGCGCCGAGGAGGCCGUACUUGUCCGAGGCGUGGGAGGACGAGGAGGCGGAGGUGAGGCGGAUGCUGAGCAACUUCAGGAUCCCGGCCGCCGCCGACGGCGCUGACCUCAAGGAGAACCUCCGGCUCUGGGCGCACACCGUGGCCUCCGCCGUCCGGUGA